UCGAUGCGGAUAUACUGUGUCUUUGCGUAUGGGCGACCCAAUAUAUUCAGCCGAUUUUUACGCGACCUUUUUGAAAAUAAUUUUCAACGAGGGGGGGCUACCCUUUCUGUACAACCCAUUUAGUGGUCCGAUUACCAUAACUAAAAGAAACCAUUAUUGCCUUCAAUUUGUUUUUAAAGUUAUAUAUACGACUAAACGUGUAAUGUAAUAUUGUGUAGUAUUGCGUGAAGUUCACAAUAUUGAUAAUUGACAUCAAAACAUAUGCUGGAACAACGACAUCAAAUUUAAUCGCAUCCGUGAAUGUUAACCGAUAAAGUGUA
Molecule: non-coding RNA, 320 nt
Organism: Cinara cedri
Lineage: Eukaryota; Metazoa; Arthropoda; Insecta; Hemiptera; Aphididae
Source: the annotation of a GenBank genome assembly